GGUGCGGAAUAGCUCAGGGAAACUUGGAGUAAUACCGUAUACGCCCGAAAGGGGAAAGAAUUUCGCUAUAGGAUGGGCCCGCGUAGGAUUAGCUAGUUGGUGAGGUAAUGGCUCACCAAGGCGACGAUCCUUAGCUGGUUUGAGAGAACGACCAGCCACACUGGGACUGAGACACGGCCCAGACUCCUACGGGAGGCAGCAGUGGGGAAUAUUGGACAAUGGGCGCAAGCCUGAUCCAGCCAUGCCGCGUGAGUGAUGAAGGCCCUAGGGUUGUAAAGCUCUUUUGGCGGGGAAGAUAAUGACGGUACCCGGAGAAUAAGUCCCGGCUAACUUCGUGCCAGCAGCCGCGGUAAUACNAAGGGGACUAGCGUUGUUCGGAAUCACUGGGCGUAAAGCGCACGUAGGCNGAUUUGUAAGUCAGGGGUGAAAUCCCGGGGCUCAACCUCGGAACUGCCUUUG
This 459-nucleotide ribosomal RNA is filed under the name uncultured Hyphomicrobium sp. RNAcentral describes it as "bacterial SSU rRNA". It matches the Rfam family "Bacterial small subunit ribosomal RNA", at positions 135 to 629 of the family's 1533-position model. The record is from RNAcentral. Lineage: Bacteria; Pseudomonadati; Pseudomonadota; Alphaproteobacteria; Hyphomicrobiales; Hyphomicrobiaceae.